This is a non-coding RNA of Merluccius polli (Benguela hake), 73 nucleotides long. The record is from the annotation of a GenBank genome assembly. NCBI's taxonomy places the organism in Eukaryota, Metazoa, Chordata, Actinopteri, Gadiformes, Merlucciidae.
GCAGGAAUAGAGUAGCGGUUAGCUUGCUCCGCUCCCAGCUUGAAGGUUCUGGGUUCAAACCCCAAUGUCUGCA